RNA transcript from Helianthus annuus (common sunflower), 1680 nucleotides. It is a transcript of the gene named pentatricopeptide repeat-containing protein At2g27800, mitochondrial, with no coding region annotated. NCBI's taxonomy places the organism in Eukaryota, Viridiplantae, Streptophyta, Magnoliopsida, Asterales, Asteraceae. The record is from RefSeq and is a predicted model, not a curated record. The transcript has 3 exons.
CUCCUGGCAUCAGUAGAGCCAGUGGCAAACUGUCACUACCGUUUAGGGUUCUUGUUCUUCAUAACAACUAAUCAGUCGUUACAAUGAACAUUGCAUCCAAAUCCAUACGAUAUUUGAAUCAAAUCCAUCUCAACCCCAAAUUCCCACAAAACCCUAAACACCCUUUCAACAUCAAAUCCAUUCUACCCUCAAAUUUUUCAUCAACAUCCUACAGAAAGAGACUCAACAGAAGAAAUUUAGCAGCCUCAAAACCAACCCUAAACGAACCCCAAUUCCACAAAGCAAUCUCACAUCUCCUUCCAAGAUUCACCCCACAAGACCUCUACAACCUAAUCACCCAACAACAAGACCCAUUAAUCUGUCUACACCUAUUCAAUUAUGCCUCUAACCAACCCAGAUUCACCCAUGACACAACCACAUUCCACAUCACAAUCAAGAAGCUCGGCGCCGCGAAAAUGUACCCCGAAAUGGACCGAAUUGUCGAAUCAGUGUUAUCGGUAUCGGAUCAGUCUUUCGGGUCUGAGGUGUUGUAUAAUUCGAUUAUAUAUUUUUAUACUGAAGGUAGAAUGUUAAGUAAGGCUGUUAGUGUUUAUAAACAUAUGAGAAGUUUGAAACAGAUGGAGUGUAGGCCGUCGAUUCGGACGUAUAAUUUGCUUUUCGCAGCGUUUUUGAGUCGUAGGAGUAAUAGUUAUAUAAACCAUGUGUAUAUGGGUACGAUGAGAAUGUUGUUUAAGAAUAUGGUGGAUGAUGGGGUUGAACCGGAUGUUUUUGCGUUGAAUAGUAUGAUUAAAGGGUACGUGUUGUCGCUUCAUGUUAAUGAUGCGCUUAGGGUGUAUCAUCAGAUGGGUGUUGUUUAUGAUUGUAGGCCGAAUUCGUUUACGUUUGAUUAUUUGAUUCAUGGGUUGUGUGCGCAAGGGAGGACGUGUAACGCGAUGAAGAUUUGUGGGGAGAUGAAGGAGAAAGGGUUUGUUCCGAGUGGGAAGUCGUAUAAUUCGGUUGUGUGUGCGUUUGCGCUUGAGGGGGAGGUUGAUCGAGCGGUGGGGUGGUUGUGGGAGAUGGUGGAGAAUGGGAGAUUGGUUGAUGAUAUUACGUGUUGGACGGUGGUUGAUGAGUGUUGUAAACGGGAUAGGUGUGGUGAUGCGUUGGGGUUGAUUGAGGAGUUGCAAGAGAAAAGAGUGGUGGAUAGACGUGGUUAUAAGAAGCUUCGACAUGAACUUAAAGUUAACUAUGGAGAGUUGUGUGACCGAAAUGGGAUGAAAAAUGGAUCACGUAAUCGGAUUGAGUAAAGAAAGUGUUGACAUGCACACCUGAGUGGAGCCAAAGAGACUCGAGUCUGCGGUUAUGUUUGGUUAUGGCGUGUUUCUACAGAAGAAUCAAUAUACCGUUUAAAAGAAGGGGUUGGAAUUCUUUCCAGUUCAAGGCGUCUAUUUUGUGAUUCACAUGGAAGCAUAGACCCUCGAUGACUCGAUGAGAUACACAAUGGGUCCCAAAUUGCGGUUGGAAAGCUCGGUAAUUUGUGGUUCGGGGCAAAGCCUGGUUGGGGCCUUAAAAUUGUUUUUUUCCUAAGUAGUAUUGAUGCAAAUGUUAUUUUUUUUGUGUUACUGUUUAAUUAACUGUAAUGUAAAGAUUGUUAUGUAUGUUUUUAUUAUUUAUAAAAUAACACCAGAUAUUUGAAGUUAA